Molecule: ribosomal RNA, 153 nt
Filed under: Triticum aestivum (bread wheat)
Lineage: Eukaryota; Viridiplantae; Streptophyta; Magnoliopsida; Poales; Poaceae
Description: partial small subunit ribosomal RNA
Source: RNAcentral
AUGACCUCACAGAUGGAGAGGGAAUCAAACCCCCGUUAUUCCUAUCAAUACUUCGGUUUUCAAGACCGACUCUUUCAACCGCUCAGGCAUCCAUCCCUGUGCUCGCCUGCCCUAUCUAUCUGGGCGCUGGUAGGUAGGGGCAACUCUAUGUGA